Molecule: long non-coding RNA, 542 nt
Filed under: Phascolarctos cinereus (koala)
Lineage: Eukaryota; Metazoa; Chordata; Mammalia; Diprotodontia; Phascolarctidae
Description: lncRNA (ENSPCIG00000032555.1)
Source: RNAcentral
UUUAUGGAUGAGGAACUGAGGCAAACGGGGUAAAGUGACUUGCCCAGAGUCACACAACCAGCUAUAUUUGAAGAAAGCAAGAUCUAGAGUGAGGACUUUCCUUGAAGAGGAUUGAAAGACUAUCACUGGCAACAAAGAGAAUGCAUGCAAUUGGUCUAUGUUCCCGAGCUGCUCAUUCUCCUUACACUAGAUACCCAGACUCUUCUGUUAUGGAAGGAAACAAGAGAGAUCGGUGAGACAAAGGAAUACAUCUCGGAUGAAGCAGAUGGAUGAAAAAAGACUAGAGAAGUUCAUUGGGUUUGUCAGAAGAAAGUGGACUCUCUGAGCAAACCAACCCUGGCCAGGGAAGUGGAAAGUAGAAGGCUCGCCUAGUUAAAAUGUUCUGCAACAAUGAAAAUGUCUUAAAAUCAGUGUGGUAACUCUGUUGCAGACUAGCUGACUCUGGGGGCCCUCUCCCAUUUUCCCUGCUCAUAACUUGUUUUGUGGUUCCAGUAAGAAAUGGAAACUAGGAGGCUAUCCAUCAAAUAAGGAAUAGCCAAACA